This 491-nucleotide ribosomal RNA is filed under the name uncultured bacterium. RNAcentral's name for it is "partial 16S ribosomal RNA". It matches the Rfam family "Bacterial small subunit ribosomal RNA", at positions 29 to 506 of the family's 1533-position model. The record is from RNAcentral.
AGUGAACGCUGGCGGUAGGCCUAACACAUGCAAGUCGAACGGCAGCACAGUAAGAGCUUGCUCUUACGGGUGGCGAGUGGCGGACGGGUGAGGAAUACAUCGGAAUCUACUUUUUCGUGGGGGAUAACGUAGGGAAACUUACGCUAAUACCGCAUACGACCUACGGGUGGAAGCAGGGGAUCUUCGGACCUUGCGCGAUUGAAUGAGCCGAUGUCGGAUUAGCUAGUUGGCGGGGUAAAGGCCCACCAAGGCGACGAUCCGUAGCUGGUCUGAGAGGAUGAUCAGCCACACUGGAACUGAGACACGGUCCAGACCCCUACGGGAGGCAGCAGUGGGGAAUAUUGGACAAUGGGCGCAAGCCUGAUCCGGCCAUACCGCGUGGGUGAAGAAGGCCUUCGGGUUGUAAAGCCCUUUUGUUGGGAAAGAAAAGCAGCAGGUUAAUACCCCGCUGUUCUGACGGUACCCAAAGAAUAAGCACCGGCUAACUUCGU